CUAAGCGGACUGAUGGUCGCGAUGUCCGCGGAUUUAAUAAACAAGUUUCCAUAGAAAACACAGCCGUGAAUCGCUCCAAGAGGAUCCAAAGGUGCCAGACUGUGCCAUUUAAGUGAGCAACAGUUAGUCAGGCUUUGUGAAGGUCAUUCACAGUGCUGAAGUCAAAGGCGAGUAAAGCAUUUAUUCUUGAAGCAGGAAAAAAUAAAACACCUUUUCAAGACAAAUGAAUGAAUCCGAGUGAGAACGACGAUCGUUUAGCAGAAAGUGCUUUUCUAACAGUCAAGCUCUACUAAGGUUAGAUGUUAGUCUUCAACUAGCUUCAACAUCCUCGUAUAAACUGCAAAGCUGUUUGUCUACAGUGUUUCUUCUGUGGUUCAUGUACAGAAACCUGUAAACAGACAGGCACUUUUAGCACUAGCUGAGCACUUAACGUGGAGCCGUUGUGUCUUACUCACAGGGUCCAGUUUCCUGCACAGAACAGACAUUACUGCCACUGUGCAUGUGCUGAACACCCAAUGAGGUAUUUAUUAGGUGCCGUCCUCCAGCUUAAGUAGGAAGCUGCUGAUCACACAGGUAUUCACAGGUGAGGUAAUCAUCUGCAAGAGCUGGGAGCAGGAGACGGAUCACCUCUAAAAUACAAGGUGUGUUUAAUCCAUAAUCACACACAGAGACAUAAAGACCAUCGUGGCAAAACAAAGAGUGAGUGUGUUACAACUGUAAUGCAUUUCAACGUCUGUAUAAGGGUCACCAUAACAACGGUCUACACUCAUGUACAAACGAGAGGUGCAUCUUCUCGAGUUCACUGAACUCGAGAGCUGGAUUCUUUUGGUAAACUGGAGAAAUGACAGAUAUCCAUGUACCGACUUUGGAAACAGCAAGGAAACAACAUUUUGGAUGUUUCACCACUGUUUGUAGCCUCUAACAGUGGAGACUGGUGGGGGCACAGAGACAACUUACAGGUGUUAAAGGAGAAGUGGAGGGGAGGGACGCUCCCAUGUUUUACUCCCCUGCAGGCAGAUUUCCCCACACUGCAGUAAAAGCUGUGCUGCACAGGGGAAAGUGUGGGACAGAUGGAGAGGUAAUCAGGAGCAUCCAUCCUCUCUUCUCUACAUAUUCCUCUUCCUACUUCCUCCCUGCUUUCUUUCUCCUGUGUAGUUAAAGGGAGGCUUUCAUGUUUUGUUUCUGGGAGAACAGGAAGAAGAAAAAUACAGAGCUCUGUAUCAGGGAGGUAUAGAGCUGGAGUCAGAACUUAGUCUCCAAGCACAGUGACUGGUGGUGGAAACAGAAGCUUGCACAUGUAUUCAAAUCUUUCAUAUCUGAGUUUAGUUUAACUGUAGAAAACCAGGAUACAUUUCUGACGGGUUAUACAUUAGUUUUACUCAUUUACAUUAUUAUAAUAAUACUUUGAUUUAAAGGUAAAGCAGUUUCUCAUGUGUGGAGCCUGUCUCAGUGAGCAGGCUGGUGACGUCAGGACUAAUCGGGGAAGAUUAGUGUUUUAUUUGUCAUUUGUAACUGACAUUUCAGAGCUGAAAGAAAGACUGACUGAGAGUGCUUCCUGGGUUAAAAUGCCCAUAGAAGUGAUCAUCUAUAUAAAACUAAAAGCUACGAUGGCCAAGCUGACUUUAGAUUGGCUUCCCCUACAGAAGAAUAAUUUUGAAGUGGUUUCUGGCUGUGGUUGUUUCUAGUUUCUACUGGGACCAAUCCGAACUUUCUGUUCGCUAAGCUUAACUUAGUGGCUUAGUGAACUAAUAUGUCUGUGAAGGUUCUCAGUCAUCCAGGUCAUCGUAGUCUAAGGAGCUUGGAAAGAAAUGCGUCUGGACUUCUUUAAGUUGCUUGAAGACGUUUCACCUCUCAUCCGAGAAGCCUCAAGACAUGCUUCCCCCACACUGGAUCCUCACCAAUGCUGUACCCACAGGAUGCUGUACCCACAGGAUGCUGUACCCACAGGAUGCUGUACCCACAGCGCUUCACUGUGUACUCUCACACCUGGACAACAAGAAUACAUAAGCAAGAAUGCUGUUGGCUUCAUGUGGAAACAGAAAAUGGGCACAAGAACAGUUUAAGGGAGGAAAGAGUUUGAUAUAGUUCGGGUCACUCCCUUGGUGAGGAAUGUCAAAUGGAUGAGAGUGACAGCGAGUAAGAGAAGAUCCCAGAAUGAUGUCUAAAGAACAGUUAGGAGAUCGUGUGUGUCUGUGUGUGUCUUUAGAGGACACUGUGAUGUAAGGAGCCAGGAUGUCGUUCCACGCAGAGCCGUCAGACACAGACACACAGAAACUUGUACAACUGCAGAUACAGAUGUAUGCGUCAUGCGUGGUGUCACACAGGUGUAUUAGCCCAGGCACAGACCUGAGCCACAGCCAAGUCAUUCAUAAACAAAUCAUCUGCUGAGUUAGUGUUUGGUGGUCUGUGUGCCAAAGUAUUCCUGAACCCAGUUUGCUUCACUGGAGUGUGAAUGUAGGAAGUGCUAUAAAAAGCAGUCUAUUAUUUCAUUGUUACUAAACAAUUAUAUGAAAACCAGCUUGUUUGUUAAAAUAAAAAUUUUGAACCAA
Long non-coding RNA from Haplochromis burtoni (Burton's mouthbrooder), 2549 nucleotides. RefSeq lists it as uncharacterized. The record is from RefSeq and is a predicted model, not a curated record. Lineage: Eukaryota; Metazoa; Chordata; Actinopteri; Cichliformes; Cichlidae. The transcript is spliced from 2 exons.